This is a non-coding RNA of Acanthosepion pharaonis, 114 nucleotides long. NCBI's taxonomy places the organism in Eukaryota, Metazoa, Mollusca, Cephalopoda, Sepiida, Sepiidae. The record is from the annotation of a GenBank genome assembly.
UUACGGCCAUAUCACGAAGAAACACCGGUUUUCGUACGAUCAUCGAAGUUAAGCAAAGCUGAGCCAGAUCAGUACCUAGAUGGAUGCCCCCCUAGGAAUACCAGGUGAUGUAAG